Molecule: small RNA, 143 nt
Filed under: Dickeya solani
Lineage: Bacteria; Pseudomonadati; Pseudomonadota; Gammaproteobacteria; Enterobacterales; Pectobacteriaceae
Description: isrN
Rfam family: isrN Hfq binding RNA
Source: RNAcentral
UAAUCACCGGCUCACCACGUCGCGUAUCCGGCUGAUAACGGAAUACCGUCCUGCUCAGUGAUAACGUCCUGCAUGCCUGGCGGAUGCUCAUCGUAAAUUCCGCCGUCAGAUAGCUGACGAGCUCACGCUUUAUCACUGGUUUU